Molecule: ribosomal RNA, 430 nt
Filed under: uncultured Spirochaeta sp.
Lineage: Bacteria; Pseudomonadati; Spirochaetota; Spirochaetia; Spirochaetales; Spirochaetaceae
Description: bacterial SSU rRNA
Rfam family: Bacterial small subunit ribosomal RNA
Source: RNAcentral
UUCGAUGAUACGCGAGAAACCUACCAGGGCUUGACAUAUACAGGAAUGUUGUAGAGAUACAGCAGCCGCUUGCGGUCUGUAUACAGGUGCUGCAUGGCUGUCGUCAGCUCGUGCUGUGAAGUGUUGGGUUAAGUCCCGCAACGAGCGCAAUCCCUAUCAUCUGUUGCCAGCAUUUAGGGUGGGGACUCAGAUGAGACUGCCGGUGACAAACCGGAGGAAGGUGGGGACGACGUCAAGUCAUCAUGGCCCUUAUGUCCUGGGCUACACACGUGCUACAAUGGCCGGUACAGAGUGAAGCGAAACCGCGAGGUGAAGCAAAACGCAGAAAGCCGGUCUCAGUACGGAUUGGAGUCUGAAACUCGACUUCAUGAAGUUGGAAUCGCUAGUAAUCGCGCAUCAGCAUGGCGCGGUGAAUACGUUCCCGGGCCUU